RNAcentral lists this long non-coding RNA (865 nucleotides) under Mus pahari (shrew mouse). RNAcentral's name for it is "predicted gene 16315 (MGP_PahariEiJ_G0003966.1)". The record is from RNAcentral. Lineage: Eukaryota; Metazoa; Chordata; Mammalia; Rodentia; Muridae.
GCAGCACCCAGGCAAGUGGUGAUGCUACCCCUCAAGCUUCAGGCCAAUGUCUGCUGCCACACGGCUGGGUGACCUCGGCCCACACAGGCCCCUGCCCUGCCCCAUCCUGCCCUGGCACAGCUAUGUUCUCUGUAGCUCCCUCUGCCGGACUCCUGCAAGGCUUGCCCACUGCUGAGCAAGAUCCUCACACAUCCCCGCACGGCCACACUGCUCAACUGUGACGGGCCCAGUGGCCGAUGGCCCCAUGCUGCAUGCACAGGUGACCUGUCUGUCUGUCUCUGAGAAGAGGCCUGGGCAGGGAAGGAGACACCUCUAAAGAGCUGGCACAUGGUCCCAGUGAACCAGCACUUCCGGCCACCCGAGAGAGGCAUCACACACCCCAUCGGGAUCUGCGAAGGUGCACGCAUGAGUGUGGUGUGGGGCUUCCGCUUCAGAGAUGCCUGUUACACAGCAGCAGCAGGAGCAGCAGCGGCAGCGGACUGAGACACGGCGGCUGUGCCAAGACCUCAAAAAGGAAGUGAAUGCUCUGCUGUUCUCAUACUCCACAGUGCAUCCUUGACCCGGUGAUCCACACACUGGAGCAUCAUGCAGCCAAGAACAGGAGGGAGGCCUGACACAGAGGACCCAGACAAGAAAGCCACACAGUCGCCAUGACAGGCCAUGCCCAGGGUGGAAGAACACAGAGGGGAACGCAUGUGUGCGCUGGUGGAUGCCUUAAACAGAGAAGGCCUUCUCUGAGGGAUGUGAUGUUCUGCAACUGGGUAGACUACCUGGCUGUAUAAUCUGAAGAUCACACAGGUGUGUAUAUCUUACACAAGUGAUCCCUACAGUCUACCAAUUAUAGCUCAAGAUCACAAAAUCAAAA